CAGUCGAACGAAGCGAUUUAGCGGAAGUUUUCGGAUGGAAGCUAAAUUGACUGUGUGGCGGACGGGUGAGUAACGCGUGGGUAACCUGCCUCACACUGGGGGACAACAGUUAGAAAUGACUGCUAAUACCGCAUAAGCGCACAGGACCGCAUGGUCCGGUGUGAAAAACUCCGGUGGUGUGAGAUGGACCCGCGUUUGAUUAGCUGGUUGGUGGGGUAACGGCCUACCAAGGCGACGAUCAAUAGCCGACCUGAGAGGGUGACCGGCCACAUUGGGACUGAGACACGGCCCAAACUCCUACGGGAGGCAGCAGUGGGGAAUAUUGCACAAUGGGGGGAACCCUGAUGCAGCGACGCCGCGUGAGUGAAGAAGUAUUUCGGUAUGUAAAGCUCUAUCAGCAGGGAAGAAAAUGACGGUACCUGACUAAGAAGCCCCGGCUAACUACGUGCCAGCAGCCGCGGUAAUACGUAGGGGGCAAGCGUUAUCCGGAUUUACUGGGUGUAAAGGGAGCGUAGACGGUAAAGCAAGUCUGAAGUGAAAGCCCGGGGCUCAACCCCGGGACUGCUUUGGAAACUGUUUAACUAGAGUGCUGGAGAGGUAAGCGGAAUUCCUAGUGUAGCGGUGAAAUGCGUAGAUAUUAGGAGGAACACCAGUGGCGAAGGCGGCUUACUGGACAGUAACUGACGUUGAGGCUCGAAAGCGUGGGGA
RNAcentral lists this ribosomal RNA (708 nucleotides) under uncultured bacterium. RNAcentral describes it as "bacterial SSU rRNA". It matches the Rfam family "Bacterial small subunit ribosomal RNA", at positions 59 to 767 of the family's 1533-position model. The record is from RNAcentral.